This 395-nucleotide ribosomal RNA is filed under the name uncultured bacterium. RNAcentral's name for it is "bacterial SSU rRNA". It matches the Rfam family "Bacterial small subunit ribosomal RNA", at positions 29 to 416 of the family's 1533-position model. The record is from RNAcentral.
AACGAACGCUGGCGGCGCGCCUAAUACAUGCAAGUCGAGCGAGAAGACGUAGCAAUACGUUUGUAAAGCGGCGAACGGGUGAGGAAUACAUGGGUAACCUACCCUCGAGUGGGGAAUAACUAGCCGAAAGGUUAGCUAAUACCGCGUACGCUCCUUGGACUUCGGUUCAGGGAGGAAAGCGAUACCGUGGGUAUCGCGCUCUUGGAUGGGCUCAUGUCCUAUCAGCUUGUUGGUGAGGAACGGCUCACCAAGGCUUCGACGGGUAGCUGGUCUGAGAGGACGAUCAGCCACACUGGCACUGCGACACGGGCCAGACUCCUACGGGAGCAGCAGUAAGGAAUAUUGCGCAAUGGGCGAAAGCCUGACGCAGCGACGCCGCGUGGGGGAUGAAGGUC